Long non-coding RNA from Marmota flaviventris (yellow-bellied marmot), 676 nucleotides. RefSeq lists it as uncharacterized. Lineage: Eukaryota; Metazoa; Chordata; Mammalia; Rodentia; Sciuridae. The record is from RefSeq and is a predicted model, not a curated record.
AUUGACUAGGAGUAGUCACCACUUUGUGAGAAUUUUUAGUACAGGACCAGAACUCAGAAGAAUGCAAUCCACAUGACAACAAGGAGUUUUGUCUGUUUUUUCAACAGUUGUAACUUUAACACCUGGAAGAAUGCCUGGCUCAUAAAGAAGAAGAAGAAGAAGAAGAAGAAGGAAGAAGUUAUAUUCAUGUUCACCGACAGUAGAGUGGUGGAGGAAGCUGUGUUUUCUGCAGCCCUAGGGACCCAGGAUGCUUGGGAUUCAAUCUGUUCAUUCUUCUUCAUGCCACUAUCUGGCCUGCUCUUCCCCAGUCAUACCCACCCCCUGCAAUCCCUUUCCUGCUCAGGAUUCACUGUGGCACCUCCUAGCACUGUUUCACCUGCAAAGUUCUGUACAAAGACCUCUGCUGUUCCAGAAUUUCUGGCCAGAAAGGGGUCAUAUGUCCUGGAUAGUUCUUCUCAUUUUGAUAGUCGUCUUAUUUUGGAAAACAACAACAACAACAAAAGGAAUUUAUAAAAUAUGCCAAAAUGUUAUUUAUUUAUUUAUUGAGAUAAGGUCUUACUAUGUUGUUCAUUCUGGCCUUAAACUCAAGAUUCUUCUGUCUCAGCCUCUGGCGUAACUGGGAUUUCAGGUGCAUGCCACCAUGCCUGACCUUGAAAUGAGUUUAGUAUCUGCUCUC